RNAcentral lists this long non-coding RNA (240 nucleotides) under Panax ginseng (ginseng). RNAcentral's name for it is "long non-coding RNA (PGIN_LNC013921)". Lineage: Eukaryota; Viridiplantae; Streptophyta; Magnoliopsida; Apiales; Araliaceae. The record is from RNAcentral.
GUGAUAACCCGAAAAUUUCUAAAAUCUUGAAUGAUUAGAAUAAAGGUUAAAGAAUAAAACCUAGAUGAGAAUUUGAGGAUUUAUUUAAAUUUUUCAAGUAAAACCUAUAUGGUUUGCUAUUCGAAUGAGAAUAGAGAAAAUAUGGGUUACAAAAUUCCAAAACCCUAGAAAUGAAUUAAUAUGUACUUGAAGGAAUAUUAAGAAUAAGGUAUUACGAUACCUUUAAAUUCGAUGUGAACG